Molecule: RNase P RNA, 364 nt
Filed under: Chloroflexota bacterium
Lineage: Bacteria; Bacillati; Chloroflexota
Description: Chloroflexi bacterium (hot springs metagenome) RNase P RNA component class A
Rfam family: Bacterial RNase P class A
About the family: Ribonuclease P (RNase P) is a ubiquitous endoribonuclease, found in archaea, bacteria and eukarya as well as chloroplasts and mitochondria. Its best characterised activity is the generation of mature 5'-ends of tRNAs by cleaving the 5'-leader elements of precursor-tRNAs.
Source: RNAcentral
UGAGCACGACGGGUGGUCGCGGGUUGCAAGACCCGAGGAAAGUCCGGGCUCCAGAGGGCAGGGUGCUGGGUAAUCCCCAGGAGGGGUGACCCUACGGAUAGUGCCACAGAGAGUAAACCGCCUUGGCGCCCCGAAAAGGUGCUGGGGCAAGGGUGAAACGGUGGUGUAAGAGACCACCAGUGGCCCGGGCGACCGGGCCAGCUCGGAAAACCCCACCCGGAGCAAGGCCAAGUAGGAGGGCAAGGGAGUGGCCCGCUCCGCCCUCGGGUUGGCCGCUCGAGGCGUCGAGCAAUCGGCGCCCUAGAUAGAUGACCACCACCCCCGCGAGAGGGCACAGAACCCGGCUUACAGGCGUGCUCAGGCU